This 404-nucleotide long non-coding RNA is filed under the name Ananas comosus (pineapple). RNAcentral describes it as "long non-coding RNA (ACOM_LNC020883)". Lineage: Eukaryota; Viridiplantae; Streptophyta; Magnoliopsida; Poales; Bromeliaceae. The record is from RNAcentral.
UAUGUAGAUUUAUGAAAAUGGUUUCUUCCCCUCGUGAUAACUCGUUUUCAAAGAAAAUAAAAGGUUUUCAUGUGAAAAAUAGUUUUUAAAAGAUUUUUUGGCUUUUCGUGAUAUUUAGUAUUUCAAAAAAUGAGUUUUCGGGUGGGAAACACUUUCAACUUAUAGUUGUCGGAUGUGGUGAAUAUUGUGAACGUACUGUUGUGAUUGGUUGUGGUUGUGACUUUUACUAUAUGCGACGCUGUGUAAAUACAGGGAGACUUUGUCCAUGUGAACAGUGAAUUAUUUGUAUUUGUGGCGGGUCUGUCAUCUCUUAGGUCAAGGUUUCAAAAAAAAAUAUCUGCGUAUUUUUCGCUGAGUCAUUGGUUUUUAAAUUAGCCUCCUUUUGAAAUUGCUUUAUAAAAGGG